This 264-nucleotide long non-coding RNA is filed under the name Gossypium barbadense (sea-island cotton). Its description in RNAcentral is "long non-coding RNA (GBAR_LNC008817)". Lineage: Eukaryota; Viridiplantae; Streptophyta; Magnoliopsida; Malvales; Malvaceae. The record is from RNAcentral.
UCGAAGUAACGAUCUCAAAAACGUAAAAAUUAUCAAAAACUGAAACCAAACUAACCUUGAAUCAAGCUUGAGAAUGGCCGAACCUAAGGAACCCUUAUUUCUUUUCUUUUCUUUUAUAUUCGGUCAUGAAAAGAAUAUGAACAAUGGCUUUUUAUUAUUUUAUUUUAUAUAACAUUAUUAACCAUUUUACAUUUUUAACCUUUAACUUAAAAUAUAAACUCAUUAUAAAUUAAGGUUACUACCGUCUAUCAUCCUUAAUCAUGG